AACGCGAAGAACCUUACCUGGGCUCGAAAUAUAGAGGACGAUCACAGAGAUGUGAUUUCCCGUAAGGGUCUCUAUAUAGGUGCUGCAUGGCUGUCGUCAGCUCGUGCCGUGAGGUGUUUGGUUAAGUCCAGCAACGAGCGCAACCCUUAUCGUUAGUUGCCAACGCGUCAAGGCGGGAACUCUAACGAGACUGCCUAGGUUAACUAGGAGGAAGGUGAGGAUGACGUCAAGUCCGCAUGGCCUUUAUGUCCAGGGCUACACACGUGCUACAAUGGUCGGUACAGAAGGCAGCGAAACCGCGAGGUGAAGCAAAUCCUCAAAAACCGAUCUCAGUUCAGAUUGUAGUCUGCAACUCGGCUACAUGAAGUUGGAAUUGCUAGUAAUGGCGUGUCAGCAACAACGCCGUGAAUACGUUCCCGGGCCUUGUACACACCGACUGUAC
This 442-nucleotide ribosomal RNA is filed under the name uncultured bacterium. Its description in RNAcentral is "bacterial SSU rRNA". It matches the Rfam family "Bacterial small subunit ribosomal RNA", at positions 958 to 1399 of the family's 1533-position model. The record is from RNAcentral.